Molecule: ribosomal RNA, 587 nt
Filed under: Stenotrophomonas maltophilia
Lineage: Bacteria; Pseudomonadati; Pseudomonadota; Gammaproteobacteria; Lysobacterales; Lysobacteraceae
Description: bacterial SSU rRNA
Rfam family: Bacterial small subunit ribosomal RNA
Source: RNAcentral
GGUACCCAAAGGAAUAAGCACCGGCUAACUUCGUGCCAGCAGCCGCGGUAAUACGAAGGGUGCAAGCGUUACUCGGAAUUACUGGGCGUAAAGCGUGCGUAGGUGGUCGUUUAAGUCCGUUGUGAAAGCCCUGGGCUCAACCUGGGAACUGCAGUGGAUACUGGGCGACUAGAAUGUGGUAGAGGGUAGCGGAAUUCCUGGUGUAGCAGUGAAAUGCGUAGAGAUCAGGAGGAACAUCCAUGGCGAAGGCAGCUACCUGGACCAACAUUGACACUGAGGCACGAAAGCGUGGGGAGCAAACAGGAUUAGAUACCCUGGUAGUCCACGCCCUAAACGAUGCGAACUGGAUGUUGGGUGCAAUUUGGCACGCAGUAUCGAAGCUAACGCGUUAAGUUCGCCGCCUGGGGAGUACGGUCGCAAGACUGAAACUCAAAGGAAUUGACGGGGGCCCGCACAAGCGGUGGAGUAUGUGGUUUAAUUCGAUGCAACGCGAAGAACCUUACCUGGCCUUGACAUGUCGAGAACUUUCCAGAGAUGGGAUUGGUGCCUUCGGGAACUCGAACACAGGUGCUGCAUGGCUGUCGUCA